CACAGGUUCUUUAAAUAUGUGCCGCUGACAGUGGUUCUUACAUCAAGCAGUUCUGCACAGUGUUCUGAAGAGAGCUGUAGACACAUCGAUAUGAGACUUGUAAUUCAUUAUUUAUUUUUUAACUGGAUUUGCAUAGCUGCCCCAUGGCCUAAGUUCUCUGGGCGCCUCAUGAAACAAUUAAACCAUUAAAUCAAGCUAUUAAACCUAAAAACACAAUUAAACAUCAAUGUGUAACUGGAAAAAAGAACCAAACAAAACACACCUACAAAAUUUUCCUUGCCUGCCCCGUACAUCAUGCAAGAGACAACGGUUUGCAUGAGGCUGUGGUACAAUAGAGAUGUGGUGCCUUUGAGAUAUGGGCACUUCUUUUGUUCUCUGUCAUCUGUGGUAGAACAGGUUUUGCAAGCCUUUGAAAAGUGACAAAACUUACAAAAUCUGUUUACUAGAGACAAUUGUGGAAUGACUGUACACACCACAAACAUUGAUGCCUGCUCCAGAUCUUCUCCAUCAUUCUGAGGCAACCAUUGCAUGCCUCUUGCGAUAGACUUUGACCAGCCCCUUCUCACGCUUUAAAAACAUGCAUAUGUGCCCAGUUCCCUACAUUUAUUUCCCAAAAUUUGAUUAGGUAAUGGUUAUGGCAAAAUUGACCCUUAGCAUAAUGACAGGGUACAAUGAUCUGAGUUAUACAGGAUCUGACUCACCCAGUCCUGACGGUUAACAUCUGCUGCUAAGUUCGUCAUUCCCCUUUAAGAUUAAUGGGAGCGGAGUCUAAAUGGAAAUAUGUGAAACUUGUUUUCCUUGCUGUUCCAGUAGGUUUUGUGGAAGCCACGUGGCUGUUUAAAAAGCUUGUUUUGUGGUUUCUGAAACCAUGAGAAGACCUCUGACCUUGCCUUUAAGAGUAGUGCUCGCAGUUACUUGUAGUGCUUAAACAUCUGGGGAAGUUGAGGUGUAGCAACACUGUAUUUAUGCAUGGGGCAGUACUUAUGGUGACAGUAACUACUUCAUAAACAGUGACAGCCCAUGACUUCCUCAACUGUGAAUGAGUGCCUAUGUGCUCCUUCUUCCCCCAUCCACCCCUUUCCUGGCCUAUUGUUCUGACUUUAAGUCACUGCUCCCACGUUUUAACAUAACAAGGACUCUGACUUAACACAAUCUAGGAUCUCCAUUGUAAAGCUCGUGCGGAAUGAGGAAAUACAAGGCAUGAGUGUAUGUCUAUGGCACACAUACCAUGGUUACUGAAGCUGUGGAUGAUGGUCCAAACACAGCCAGCGAGUUUUCAAGGGGUUACUUUGCAGCUCUCUGUAAUCUGAGUCCAUUUCCAAUUUUUAGGAUUUCGUGCAUGUUAGUCUAUAGAGGUCUCAAGAGAUUUUGCCCUUCCAUCAGUUGAUGCGUUGGUGGGAAGCUUCUUUCUUCUCCUCCACCCCUUAAUAAGAACACUCAGGCUAGCAAAUACUGUGUACACCCAGCCUAAAUAACUUGUGACUCAUGAGGUCAAGCACAACCCACCAGCCAUAUAUUGUGGUCUACCAAGUACUAGCCAACUCUCUGCACUGUGUUUUUGCAAAAUUCCAGACAGGAACUCAAAACAAGUGACUUGCCACAGGUCCUGAGGGCCAGCAUAGAUGGAUGAUGAGCUGUGGUCAACUCGGUGGGUUACAACUACUGCAAAUCCAUUAUAAACCAUGCACUCCUAACAGGACCCAGUGGUCAGGGAUGGUGGGAAUUGUAGUCCCAAAACAGCUGGAGGGCCAAGUUUGGCCAUCACUGCUUUAAGCCAAGCCAUGGCUUAACUCAGUGUGGUGCAGUAGCGAAACAAUCAGAGAGGAGUAGAGUGGCUGCAUUUGCCUCCCUGGGAGCUCACAUACUUGUGCAUCCACACUAAGCCAUGGAUUGACUUAAUUGUGAUAUGCAAAUCAGACCUGUGUCUAUAGUCUUCCUAGCCUUGACAUCGCCACAGUCUUUAAAUCAGUCUCUAAACACAGAAUAUUGUUUCUCCUUUUGCACAGCCAAUCUAUGCCUAAAGGAAAGGGUAGUAUUUUUUAAAAUGGAAAGUACUAUGGCUUAUGUGUAUUGUCCUUUUUAUAUUGGCACAGAUGCUUUCCUAAGUUGGAGCCAGAUCAGAAUAUGUCUUUAAGAAAAGCAGGACUUUGUUGAGAAAAACUUGCUCAGUUUGGGUGUUGCUCUUAGCUUCAGCAAAUAGAUUUAGCCAAAGUAACCCCUGGUACUUAUGUGAUAAAGAAACCCAGCUGGUGUGGUAUUGUCUAGAUAUAAUGAGGGCAUUUUUCAUAGAUUAUACACUUCCUUUUCCAAGGCUAGCAUUUUCUUUUGUAAAUCAAAUUUCUUGUUCUCCUGAUGUCAGCUUUUCAUAUAAAUACAGCAGAGGAUUACUGUAUGAAGAUUAGUGUCUGAUCUUGGACGAAUAUGUAGGUUGGAGCUAAACUGAGAAUCCAUAAAUGUGUUUCCAUCAUAUUUUAGAUUUGGCUGAUGUGUGUGGUGUCAAUAAAGAGUUGGCAGUGUUGAGAAGCAAAAGUUGGUGGUGUAUUGUGGUUGCUCCCUGUUCCUUGGUAUUUGAAAACUGAAGUUUGAGAUAGUUAUAAAUAUGACAUAACCAGCAUUCAUAUGAAAAGCCUUGAGUUACAGUUGAAUGCUAUGCAUGUUAAAUCAGAAGUCAGCAGCAGUGAGUUCAAUGGGGCUUUAUUUCAUAUAAGUGUGUAUAUAAAAUUGCACCUUAACUCACUGUCUUGCCAACUCUGUUUUUCUUGACAGAGAUAUCUCUAAAGUUAUGGUCCAUUGUAACCCUUUCAUGUGGGAGGUAUUCGGUUAUUCUUAUGGUUAGCUGAAGCUACCAAAUUUACUGUGGGGAGAAUGUGUUGUUCUUUACAGAAUACAUAACUAGUUGGAUUAAUUGCCACAAAAAUGUUCUAACAUUUGUCUAAUUAAACAAUCCACUGGCCUUUUAAA
Podarcis raffonei (Aeolian wall lizard) is the source of this 2961-nucleotide long non-coding RNA. RefSeq lists it as uncharacterized. Lineage: Eukaryota; Metazoa; Chordata; Lepidosauria; Squamata; Lacertidae. The transcript is spliced from 2 exons. The record is from RefSeq and is a predicted model, not a curated record.